GAGAGAGAGAGAGAGAGAGAACACACAGAAGGGCAGAGAGUUUUGCUGUGCAAGUGAGCAAGAGAGUGGAGUUACGUAGUGGUUGAGGGCAGAUGGAUGGUAGGGAAGGGUGGCGCGUGAUUACAUGCGCGGCUGCUGCGCAGGAUAAGACGAUAAUCAACCGAGUAAUGCUCAGAUUCCGGCCGAUUGCGCCGAAACCAGCAACUGACGGCUCAAGCUCUAGCUUCUGGAAGCCAGAUAACAAGAACGGUGUGGUUACUAGUGUAAGGACCAAGAGAAAGUACGUUAGGGUUAAGAAGAGUAACGAAUACUACAAAAGAAGAAGAAAAAAGAAAUCAUCAGAUCUUGAAAGAGCUGGUAGAGAAGAUGAUUCAAACGAGAAGCUUUUCACGCUCCAGUUACUACCAGAGAAAACUGAUCUAAAAAAAAAUUCACCCCUAGUUAAAGGAUCUAGCAGUGGUGUUGAUCGUACCGAUAGAAAAGAUCAGGUGCAAGAGCAUACGGAUCCUUCCGUGUUGUUUGAGUCCAGAACACAGGUAACCGGUGAUCUGAGUUCCCUUGCCUUUGCAGAUCGGACGGCUGCGAUGGCAGAGAAGAGAGUAAUAGAGACGUGGGUGACGGUGGAGAGCGUGACAGACACGUGCAUGGAAGUGGCGGACGGGUUAGGGUGUACGGACAUGGAGAAAAUGAAUAAUCUGAACAGGGACACGUGUCCGGGGUUUAUAUCGGAUGGUAGAAGCAGAGUAGAGUGGGUGAACGAAGCAUACAGAAAGAUGGUGAUGGUGAGACCGGAAAAUACCGACGGGCCGUACUCGUCGGUGGAAGAGAUCAUUACGGUGAGGCUGGUGAUGAAAGAGAAAAUAUUGCCAUAUCUGUACUACCCAACGUUUACGUGCUGGGUUAGGUUACAGUACACGUGGCCGAAGGAGAAGUUCUCACAAAUGGUUCCGUGUGAUGUGUGGAAGAUGGAAUCUGGUGGGUUUGCAUGGAGGCUAGACGUUAAGGCAGCUCUAAGUUUGGGUCUUUGAAAAUGGACAAGAAAGAAAGAAAGACCUCUCAUUUCAGGUAUAUGCUUUAUCCUAAUCUAUCACCUAAUAAGUUUCUUGCUAAGCUGGAGAAGCAAAUUAUGUACGAUAAUUAUAUAUACAUUAAGUAAAUAUCAGUAGGUGUAAGGGUGCUCUAAAGUCUAAACCAAGAAGGGAUGGCCUGUAGUGUAGUUUAUUUGUAUCUAUGCAAAUAGACAAGAUUUGGGGACCCAAAAAAGAAAGAAAAAGAAGCAACAAGAACAAGAAACAAUGUGAAAGAUGGGUUCGAAGGAACUGGGAAUUGAUGGUUAACGUGCUUAAUUUGUGCUCUACAUGCCACGCCGGGGGGUUGGACAGUUGGGGGACGAAGAGAACCUUCCAAAUGGCCCAACCCUUCUCUCUUUUUGUUAAUUGCUAUGUGUAUAUCAAAUGAAUUGCCAAAACUUUUUUACUGCUAUCUUUUGGUUGCCAUUUAACAUCUUAUAUAUUCAUGCUUCUAGGGCUAAUUAUAUCAUAUGUUGUGUUAAAAUUCAACAGCUAGAAUAAAUAGAGCUUAAGUAGUGUCACUAUCGACUAUCAAGGAUACAUAUAUAAUAUAAGGUAGCUUACUGAAAACGAAAUUAGAUGUUUUCAAAGAAAAUAGAGAAGGGUUAGUUAGAAGCAAUGUCAUUGAUUAAUAAUGAAGUCUAGUCAUCAGUUUAAUUAUGUCCAGCUAGUGUCCAGUGGCUUGCACUGCUAUAAAUCAAUAUAUAUAUGUAUAUUUGUUUUAGGAAAUAUUAGAGUGUUUAUGGGUUCUUAUAUGUUUAUUUACGUAUCAUUAAUAUAUGUAAUUUACAAAAUCUGUCUACUUGGUUUUUUAAAUUAUUCUUAAUUGUUUUGUUAAGUUUGUUUUGUAAGAAGUGUUGUUUUAUACUAUUUGAUUCAAUUUCUUAAUUAUUAUUUAUAUAUUUUUAAUUUUUGUUGUAAAAUAAUAGAAAAAUAUGACAAAUAUUUGAAUUUUUUUUAUUUUUA
Molecule: unclassified non-coding RNA, 2036 nt
Filed under: Hevea brasiliensis (rubber tree)
Lineage: Eukaryota; Viridiplantae; Streptophyta; Magnoliopsida; Malpighiales; Euphorbiaceae
Source: RNAcentral